AUACGGAGGAUGCGAGCGUUAUCCGGAUUUAUUGGGUUUAAAGGGAGCGUAGGCGGGAGCUUAAGUCAGCGGUUAAAUGGUGCGGCUCAACCGUGCCCUGCCGUUGAAACUGGGUUUCUUGAGAGUGCAAGAGGCGGAUGGAAUUCAUGGGGUAGCGGGGAAAUGCUUAGAUAUCAUGAAGAACUCCGAUUGCGAAGGCAGUCCGCUGUGGCACGUCUGACGCUGAUGGUCGAAGGUGCGGGAAACAAACAGGAUUAGAUCCCCUGGUAGUCCGCACGGUAAACGAUGAUUACGCGCUGUCGGCGGUAGACAGUCGGCGGCCAAGCGAAAGCGAUAAGUAAUCCACCUGGGGAGUACGCCGGCAACGGUGAAACUCAAAGGAAUUGACGGGG
RNAcentral lists this ribosomal RNA (392 nucleotides) under uncultured bacterium. Its description in RNAcentral is "partial 16S ribosomal RNA". It matches the Rfam family "Bacterial small subunit ribosomal RNA", at positions 523 to 918 of the family's 1533-position model. The record is from RNAcentral.